CAAUUUUGUUGUGAAGUAUCGUAUCGACAUGCUUCAUUAAAAUGCUUGAUCAAUACUCACUGUAGAAACAUGUAAUUUAAAACAAGACGAACCAAUAUAAUCAUCAUAAUGUAAGUCUCCAGCAUUUUAAUCUCUGUCGAUUGUCAAUAUAACUCAACAAGUCUAAAUACUUAAAAUUGAGGCUCACACUUCAUAUCUAGCUCAUAAUGUAGUAACUCCCACUUUUUUGCAAGUAUGCAUGUUGCAAAAGCUUGCUCAAAGGAUCGUCAAAAUGGUGUUUUUUCAAACUCAGUCCAACGUUACCUUUCUCGACUAAACAACCAUUCCAAUUGGUUCCAAUCCACAACCCAUAUAUUCACCUCGAUUGCUUCUCAAACUCAUCCACAAGGGACAAGAUAACGGUGAUGAUUUGUAGCCACAAAGGCAAGAAGAAAACACAAAGUUAAUCACCAAUUUUUCGUACACAAAGUUAACCGGUUUCUUCUCUUCAAA
RNAcentral lists this long non-coding RNA (492 nucleotides) under Olea europaea subsp. europaea. The record is from RNAcentral. Lineage: Eukaryota; Viridiplantae; Streptophyta; Magnoliopsida; Lamiales; Oleaceae.